AGCUAACCUCAUUCAGCUUGACCUAACACCUAGUUCAAAUAAACCAUAUCCAAAUCUUUCUUUAUAUGAUGUUUCCCAUUAUGGAAUCUCUCAAUGAUGUGUUAAAAGACUCACCAAAGGAUUCAUUUGGAAGAAUCUCUUCAAUCAAAAGCAUGAAAAGGAAAAGCAUACUUUCACAGAUUAGAAACAUAUCUUUUGCAUCUGUUCCAGAUAGCUCUUCAUCAGAAGAGAGCAAAGUGCCCAAGACUCCUCCCAGAAGUACCAAUGUUGAGACCAAUCCUGAAAAUAAAUUUUUAUAUCCAUGUCUUAAGUUUCCAAAUUUAAAAGGUAGUGGGACCAUGGCUGAAGAUGAUAAAGGCAACUUUGUGCAAGUCAGUCUUGGUGAAAUCCUGUCCAUAAUUGAACCCAUUAGUAAACAAAUGGAGGAAGAUAAAAAACACAAAGUGGAGCCAUCCAGAUUUUUUGAUGCAACGGUUGCACCAACUUCACAAAGUUUGCUCUCAAGCCCUGUUAUCUAUAACAUGCCUUUUGUCAAGGAAGAUGAAAAAGGAAAAUCAUACUAUGAAUGGAGAGGAAUUGUCUCAGAAAACUAUGAUACACAUCGUGUUUGUAAAGAGGGUUGGCUUAAUAAAAGUCGGCAUUCACUGUACCAAGAAUAUCUGAAUAAUGUAAGUAUAAAUGAGAUAGUCUAUAGCACUAUAAGGAAG
This 707-nucleotide long non-coding RNA is filed under the name Phascolarctos cinereus (koala). RNAcentral describes it as "lncRNA (ENSPCIG00000015525.2)". The record is from RNAcentral. Lineage: Eukaryota; Metazoa; Chordata; Mammalia; Diprotodontia; Phascolarctidae.